This 517-nucleotide ribosomal RNA is filed under the name uncultured Actinomycetes bacterium. RNAcentral's name for it is "bacterial SSU rRNA". It matches the Rfam family "Bacterial small subunit ribosomal RNA", at positions 387 to 896 of the family's 1533-position model. The record is from RNAcentral. Lineage: Bacteria; Bacillati; Actinomycetota; Actinomycetes.
CGCAGCGACGCCGCGUGCGGGAAGAAGGCCUUCGGGUUGUAAACCGCUUUCAGGAGGGACGAAGCUACUCGGGUGAAUAGCCCAGAGGGUGACGGUACCUUCAGAAGAAGCCCCGGCUAACUACGUGCCAGCAGCCGCGGUAAUACGUAGGGGGCAAGCGUUGUCCGGAUUCAUUGGGCGUAAAGCGCGUGUAGGCGGCCAGGUAGGUCCGACGUGAAAACUGGAGGCUCAACCUCCAGCUGUCGUUGGAAACCAUCUGGCUAGAGUCCGGAAGAGGAGAGUGGAAUUCCUGGUGUAGCGGUGAAAUGCGCAGAUAUCAGGAAGAACACCAAUGGCGAAGGCAGCUCUCUGGGACGGUACUGACGCUGAGACGCGAAAGCGUGGGGAGCGAACAGGAUUAGAUACCCUGGUAGUCCACGCCGUAAACGAUGGGCGCUAGGUGUGGGCGGUGUCGACUCCGUCCGUGCCGAAGCUAACGCAUUAAGCGCCCCGCCUGGGGAGUACGGCCGCAAGGCUA